CAGCUCUCCGAGUGGUAGGGAUGAUUAUUGGGCUUAAAGCGUCCGUAGCCGGCUUAGCAAGUCUCCUGUUAAACUCAGCGACCUAAUCGUUGAAUCGCGGGAGAUACUACUAGGCUAGGAGGCGGGAGAGGUCGACGGUACUUCUGGGGUAGGGGUGAAAUCCUAUAAUCCCGGGAGGACCACCAGUGGCGAAGGCUGUUGACUAGAACGCGCUCGACGGUGAGGGACGAAAGCUGGGGGAGCGAACCGGAUUAGAGACCCGAGUAGUCC
This 270-nucleotide ribosomal RNA is filed under the name uncultured archaeon. Its description in RNAcentral is "partial 16S ribosomal RNA". It matches the Rfam family "Archaeal small subunit ribosomal RNA", at positions 477 to 747 of the family's 1478-position model. The record is from RNAcentral.